RNAcentral lists this ribosomal RNA (373 nucleotides) under Herbaspirillum sp. 63R. RNAcentral describes it as "bacterial SSU rRNA". It matches the Rfam family "Bacterial small subunit ribosomal RNA", at positions 966 to 1345 of the family's 1533-position model. The record is from RNAcentral. Lineage: Bacteria; Pseudomonadati; Pseudomonadota; Betaproteobacteria; Burkholderiales; Oxalobacteraceae.
AGCCUUACCUACCCUUGACAUGGAUGGAAUCCCGAAGAGAUUUGGGAGUGCUCGAAAGAGAACCAUCACACAGGUGCUGCAUGGCUGUCGUCAGCUCGUGUCGUGAGAUGUUGGGUUAAGUCCCGCAACGAGCGCAACCCUUGUCAUUAGUUGCUACGAAAGGGCACUCUAAUGAGACUGCCGGUGACAAACCGGAGGAAGGUGGGGAUGACGUCAAGUCCUCAUGGCCCUUAUGGGUAGGGCUUCACACGUCAUACAAUGGUACAUACAGAGGGCCGCCAACCCGCGAGGGGGAGCUAAUCCCAGAAAGUGUAUCGUAGUCCGGAUUGGAGUCUGCAACUCGACUCCAUGAAGUGGAAUCGCUAGUAAUCGC